Molecule: ribosomal RNA, 425 nt
Filed under: uncultured Pseudomonas sp.
Lineage: Bacteria; Pseudomonadati; Pseudomonadota; Gammaproteobacteria; Pseudomonadales; Pseudomonadaceae
Description: bacterial SSU rRNA
Rfam family: Bacterial small subunit ribosomal RNA
Source: RNAcentral
GUGGGGAAUAUUGGACAAUGGGCGAAAGCCUGAUCCAGCCAUGCCGCGUGUGUGAAGAAGGUCUUCGGAUUGUAAAGCACUUUAAGUUGGGAGGAAGGGUUGUAGAUUAAUACUCUGCAAUUUUGACGUUACCGACAGAAUAAGCACCGGCUAACUUCGUGCCAGCAGCCGCGGUAAUACGAAGGGUGCAAGCGUUAAUCGGAAUUACUGGGCGUAAAGCGCGCGUAGGUGGUUCGUUAAGUUGGAUGUGAAAGCCCCGGGCUCAACCUGGGAACUGCAUCCAAAACUGGCGAGCUAGAGUACGGUAGAGGGUGGUGGAAUUUCCUGUGUAGCGGUGAAAUGCGUAGAUAUAGGAAGGAACACCAGUGGCGAAGGCGACCACCUGGACUGAUACUGACACUGAGGUGCGAAAGCGUGGGGAGCAA